Molecule: long non-coding RNA, 252 nt
Filed under: Bos taurus (domestic cattle)
Lineage: Eukaryota; Metazoa; Chordata; Mammalia; Artiodactyla; Bovidae
Description: long non-coding RNA NONBTAT016266
Source: RNAcentral
AAUGACUGAUUCUCUUGAAAAUUUACCUUAAUGGAACUCUGUGCAUUUCAGUUUAGAAUGACUUUGAAAAAUUCUUUAACUUUUAGGAUUUCUUAUUCCACCCAAGAUGAAAAGCUUUGGUAAAUAGAAUGAAAAGUUUUAGUUAAACGAAAAUUUAUUUAGUGAGACACAUAGAAGGAAAAUGUGUGCCAUAUACUAUGGUGUUAUGUUCAGUAGGAAAACUACAAAUAGAGUAUAUUUCAACCUGUAAUC